UGGGGAAUCUUGCACAAUGGGGGAAACCCUGAUGCAGCGACGCCGCGUGAGCGAUGAAGCCCUUCGGGGUGUAAAGCUCUUUCGGCAGGAACGAUAAUGACGGUACCUGCAGAAGAAGCUGCGGCUAACUACGUGCCAGCAGCCGCGGGAAUACGUAGGCAGCAAGCGUUGUUCGGAGUUACUGGGCGUAAAGAGUGCGUAGGCGGUCCUCUAAGUGCGGAGUGAAAUCUCCCGGCUCAACUGGGAGGGUGCGCCGGAAACUGGAGUGCUUGAGUAUGGGAGAGGAAAGCGGAAUUCCUGGUGUAGCGGUGAAAUGCGUAGAUAUCAGGAGGAACACCUGUGGUGUAGACGGCUUUCUGGACCAUGACUGACGCUGAGGCACGAAAGCGUGGGGAGCAAACA
This 402-nucleotide ribosomal RNA is filed under the name uncultured prokaryote. RNAcentral describes it as "bacterial SSU rRNA". It matches the Rfam family "Bacterial small subunit ribosomal RNA", at positions 355 to 774 of the family's 1533-position model. The record is from RNAcentral.